This is a long non-coding RNA of Dermacentor silvarum, 302 nucleotides long. RefSeq lists it as uncharacterized. The transcript has 2 exons. NCBI's taxonomy places the organism in Eukaryota, Metazoa, Arthropoda, Arachnida, Ixodida, Ixodidae. The record is from RefSeq and is a predicted model, not a curated record.
GCCAGCGAGGAUGGCUGCGCGCGCGUUUGAGCGCUCGCGCGCGGCGACCCGUCUGUCUCAUUCUUUUUUUCUUUUUUAAAUGUAACCUGGUUUAUUGGGCUCUCGGCGUAUUUUUGCGCUCCUUCUGCACUGGGACAAGACACCACUGCACUAUUGGACUACGGCAAGCUGGUACCGUCCGGUGGAGCUUCAUACAGGAACUACUGCCUUACCUGCUGGUGUCACAACGUUGGAUGAACGCACAAAAAGCGCGGAACGAGCUUUUAUAUAGAGCAAAAUAAAUAUUUCCUCAUUGCACAAAA